RNAcentral lists this ribosomal RNA (497 nucleotides) under uncultured bacterium. Its description in RNAcentral is "partial 16S ribosomal RNA". It matches the Rfam family "Bacterial small subunit ribosomal RNA", at positions 28 to 507 of the family's 1533-position model. The record is from RNAcentral.
GAUGAACGCUGGCGGCGUGCCUAAUACAUGCAAGUCGAGCGAACAGAUAAGGAGCUUGCUCCUUUGACGUUAGCGGCGGACGGGUGAGUAACACGUGGGUAACCUACCUAUAAGACUGGGAUAACUCCGAGAAACCGGGGCUAAUGCCGGAUAACAUUUAGAACCGCAUGGUUCUAAAGUGAAAGAUGGUUUUGCUAUCACUUAUAGAUGGACCCGCGCCGUAUUAGCUAGUUGGUAAGGUAACGGCUUACCAAGGCAACGAUACGUAGCCGACCUGAGAGUGUGAUCGGCCACACUGGAACUGAGACACGGUCCAGACUCCUACGGGAGGCAGCAGUAGGGAAUCUUCCGCAAUGGGCGAAAGCCUGACGGAGCAACGCCGCGUGAGUGAUGAAGGUCUUCGGAUCGUAAAACUCUGUUAUUAGGGAAGAACAAAUGUGUAAGUAACUGUGCACGUCUUGACGGUACCUAAUCAGAAAGCCACGGUUAACUACGUG